RNAcentral lists this transfer RNA (72 nucleotides) under Ornithorhynchus anatinus (platypus). It matches the Rfam family "tRNA". From Rfam's summary of the family: Transfer RNA (tRNA) molecules are approximately 80 nucleotides in length. Their secondary structure includes four short double-helical elements and three loops (D, anti-codon, and T loops). Further hydrogen bonds mediate the characteristic L-shaped molecular structure. tRNAs have two regions of fundamental functional importance: the anti-codon, which is responsible for specific mRNA codon recognition, and the 3' end, to which the tRNAs corresponding amino acid is attached (by aminoacyl-tRNA synthetases). tRNAs cope with the degeneracy of the genetic code in two manners: having more than one tRNA (with a specific anti-codon) for a particular amino acid; and 'wobble' base-pairing, i.e. permitting non-standard base-pairing at the 3rd anti-codon position. Lineage: Eukaryota; Metazoa; Chordata; Mammalia; Monotremata; Ornithorhynchidae. The record is from Rfam by way of RNAcentral.
AGCAGUGUGGCUCAGUGGAAAGAGCCUGGGCUUCGGCGUCAGAGGUCAUGGGUUCGACUCCCGGCUCUGCCA